Molecule: long non-coding RNA, 1429 nt
Organism: Penaeus monodon (black tiger shrimp)
Lineage: Eukaryota; Metazoa; Arthropoda; Malacostraca; Decapoda; Penaeidae
Exons: 2
Source: RefSeq, a predicted model, not a curated record
AAAUAAUUUCUCCUUUUCUCCAAGGAACUUGACCUUUCACAUACUAAACAUUUUCUUAAACACAUAACAUUUUUCUUAAACACAUAGGAAAUCUAUCAAACGGCAAAGAGAAGAAAAGAAAGAAAAGAAAUACAAAGUCUCAUUUGACUGCUGAUAUGAGGUGUUGCUGCGCGGCUCUCGUGGGCUCACUCUCGCGCUGCCUCUGCUGACAGAAAGAUCUGAGGUGUAGACGGGAGCCCGGGACAAGAGCGGGCGAUGGCGGGGGAAGGAUGAGUGUGAAGAAUGAUAGUCAUUUGGACUUCUUUGUGCAAUCACUUUGGUAAAUUGUUAACUUUCAUUCUCUCCUUUUCUUCCGUGGAAUGGCAAAAUUUAAGACGUGGAUUUUCACUAUGGUUGUCAAGAUGAGAAAUUUUCGAUUGUGAAAAUAAGGUUGAUGUGCGAGGCAUCUGAUUUCACUGUGUCAGCUGAAAGUGUUUAAUUGGAUUUCGAUGUUCCUUUUGUUUUCUUUAUGUUGAUGCACUUGUUAUGUUGACUGUUUUCCAAAAGCCUAUCGGUUAAUUUGUUAUUUCAAUAAUGAUGAUAGUAGUAAUUAUAUAUACUUGAUAAUUGUUAUCACAAAUAUCCUUUGCCUCCACACCACCAUCGCCAGCAUCAUCUACAUUAUUAUUCAUAUUGUUAUUAUUGCUAUUGUGUUACCACGGCUAGUGCCGUCUGCUAGUAGCAUGAAUAUUUCCAUUUGGGGUAAAACUCACUUUGGUCUUAAAAAAUAUGCUCAACUCUAUAUUCUCAUUCCAGUCUAUUAUCUAUUAAAAUACAAAUGACCAAUUAUAAUCAUGAUUUCUAUAAAUACGCAUAUUCUAUAUUAAUGUUGUUGUUGUUAUUAUUAUUAUUAUUAUUAUUAUUAUUAUUAUUAUUGUUAUUAUUAUUAUUAUUACUACUACUACUAUCAUUAUUGUUAUUGUUAUCAUCAUCAUCAUCAUCAUUAUUAUCUUCAUUUUAAUUAUCUGUUGUAUCCGUCGAUUCCCUCAAAAGACUUCAUAUUUAUUAGGUCUAUUACUCAUCAAUAUUCAUUUAUACACAAUGAAACACAAUUACUUUGAUAUCCAAUUAUUUGCAUUUGCGAAAACUUUUAUAACCUGUCUUUGUUAUGUUUAACCUCAUCGUUAUAUACGAGUUACUUUAAUGUUUUUGUCUGCCUUGCUGCGAGACUCGUUACAUUUUUUCAGUGUCCAAUAUUGCUCUUGAUUAUGAUGCAGUAAAUAAGCUGUUCUUGUUAUUUAAGUAAUCAUUUUUGUUACUACGGUUACCCUUUAGAAUAUUUGAAGAACUCAACUUCCUAACCUUGAAUUUCAUCGUUAUGGAUCUGGACUACUUUGAAUUCUUUGUGUAAGAAACAUCGUACAACUUAAUUAUAUGUUAUAUUCAUUAA